RNAcentral lists this transfer RNA (69 nucleotides) under Rattus norvegicus (Norway rat). It matches the Rfam family "tRNA". From Rfam's summary of the family: Transfer RNA (tRNA) molecules are approximately 80 nucleotides in length. Lineage: Eukaryota; Metazoa; Chordata; Mammalia; Rodentia; Muridae. The record is from Rfam by way of RNAcentral.
GGGGAUUUAGCUCAGCGGUAGAGCGCUUGCCUAGCAAGCACAAGACCCUGGGUUCGGUCCCCAGCUCCG